RNAcentral lists this ribosomal RNA (582 nucleotides) under fungal sp. E14419B. Its description in RNAcentral is "eukaryotic LSU rRNA". The stretch from base 191 to 344 matches the Rfam family "5.8S ribosomal RNA". Lineage: Eukaryota; Fungi. The record is from RNAcentral.
GUAGGUGAACCUGCGGAGGGAUCAUUAUCGAGUUUACAACUCCCUAACCCACUGUGAACCUACCUAUCGUUGCUUCGGCGGGACCGCCCCGGCGCCGACUCUCAGGCCCGGAACCAGGCGCCCGCCGGGGGCCAUCAAACCUCUGUUUUUUUACGUUUACAUCUCUGAUUACGCAAAAACAAUGAAUCAAAACUUUCAACAACGGAUCUCUUGGCUCUGGCAUCGAUGAAGAACGCAGCGAAAUGCGAUAAGUAAUGUGAAUUGCAGAAUUCAGUGAAUCAUCGAAUCUUUGAACGCACAUUGCGCCCGCCAGUAUUCUGGCGGGCAUGCCUGUCCGAGCGUCAUUUCAACCCUCAGGCCCCGCCUGGCGUUGGGGAUCGGCGCCGCGCAACCCCCCCUCCCGGGGGUGCGCUGCCGGCCCUGAAAUACAGUGGCGGUCUCGCUGCGGCCCUCCUCUGCGUAGUAGCAACACUCGCACUGGAAGCGCGGCGCGGCCACGCCGUAAAACACCCAACUUCUGAAAGUUGACCUCGGAUCAGGUAGGAAUACCCGCUGAACUUAAGCAUAUCAAUAAGCGGAGGA